GACGAACGCUGGCGGCGUGCUUAACACAUGCAAGUCGUACGGUAAGGCCCUUUCGGGGGUACACGAGUGGCGAACGGGUGAGUAACACGUGAGUAACCUGCCCACAACUUUGGGAUAACGCUAGGAAACUGGUGCUAAUACUGGAUAUGUGCUCCUGCUGCAUGGUGGGGGUUGGAAAGCUCCGGCGGUUGUGGAUGGACUCGCGGCCUAUCAGCUUGUUGGUGGGGUAGUGGCCUACCAAGGCGGCGACGGGUAGCCGGCCUGAGAGGGUGACCGGCCACAUUGGGACUGAGAUACGGCCCAGACUCCUACGGGAGGCAGCAGUGGGGAAUAUUGCACAAUGGGCGCAAGCCUGAUGCAGCAACGCCGCGUGCGGGAUGACGGCCUUCGGGUUGGAAACCGCGUUCAGCAGGGACGAAGCUUUUUGUGACGGUACCUGCAGAAGAAGCACCGGCUAACUACGUG
RNAcentral lists this ribosomal RNA (465 nucleotides) under uncultured bacterium. Its description in RNAcentral is "partial 16S ribosomal RNA". It matches the Rfam family "Bacterial small subunit ribosomal RNA", at positions 28 to 507 of the family's 1533-position model. The record is from RNAcentral.